GAAAAGGCAUUGAUCGGAAUAAGUAAUUGUCACAGCCUGACAACAGAGAAUAGCUGGUUGGUGAGAAGCUUUAGUUAAGAGUGAUGAUGAAUACCUCCGUGAGCAGCAGAGGCGAAAUUGCAGUAGUUUCUGACGGAGACUGACCGUUAUAUCAGGAGAGUAUCGUCUUUUUAGUUUUAAGAUCGUACUUAUUGAGGCAUAUGGUGUGAGCUGUAUGUGAAUGAAGGUGGUAACACGGAUUUUUUCGUCCUUCGC
RNAcentral lists this non-coding RNA (255 nucleotides) under Butyrivibrio hungatei. RNAcentral describes it as "T-box sequence". It matches the Rfam family "T-box leader". From Rfam's summary of the family: Uncharged tRNA acts as the effector for transcription antitermination of genes in the T-box leader family. T-boxes are found upstream of many aminoacyl-tRNA synthetase genes and some amino acid biosynthetic genes usually in Gram-positive bacteria. The anticodon of a specific tRNA base pairs to a specifier sequence within the T-box motif, and the NCCA acceptor tail of the tRNA base pairs to a conserved bulge in the T-box antiterminator hairpin. Lineage: Bacteria; Bacillati; Bacillota; Clostridia; Lachnospirales; Lachnospiraceae. The record is from RNAcentral.